This 1016-nucleotide long non-coding RNA is filed under the name Calidris pugnax (ruff). RNAcentral describes it as "lncRNA (ENSCPUG00000013021.1)". The record is from RNAcentral. Lineage: Eukaryota; Metazoa; Chordata; Aves; Charadriiformes; Scolopacidae.
CUCGGGGUACUGGGCCACUGGGGCUUGGAGUAUGGGGCUACUGGGGCUACUGGGAUAUUGGGCUACUGGGGCUUGGGGUUCCAGGAUACUGGGCUACUGGGUCUCAGGGUACUGGGAUACUGGGGCUCAGGGUACUGGGCCACCAGGGCUUGGAGUACUGGGCUACUGGGGCUACCAGAGCUCAGGGUCCUGGGGUACAGGGCUACCAGGGCUUGGGGUACUGGGAUACUGGGAUACAGGGCUACUGGGGCUCAGGGUUCUGGGCUACUGGGGCUUUGGUGUACUGGGGUUGGAGUACUGGGAUACUGGGGCUUGGGGUUCCAGGAUACGGGGCUACUGGGGCUCGGGGUACUGGGAUAUGGGGCUACCAGGGCUUGGGGUACGGGGAUACUGGGAUAUUGGGCUACUGGGGCUUGGGGUUCCAGGAUACUGGGCUACCAGGACUCAGGGUCCUGGGCCACCAGGGCUUGGAGUAUGAGGCUACUGGGGCUACCGGGGUACUGGGAUACGGGGCUACUGGGGCUACCGGGGUACUGGGAUAUUGGGCUACCAGGACUCAGGGUCCUGGGCCACCAGGGCUUGGGGUACUGGGAUAUGUGGCUAUCAGGGCUCAGGGUACUGGGAUACUGGGAUAUCAGGGCUUGGGGUACUGGGGUUGUAGUACUGGGAGACUGGGCUACUGGGGCUUGGGGUUCCAGGAUACUGGGCUACUGGGGCUCAGGGUCCUGGGCCACCAGGGCUCGGAGUACGAGGCUACUGGGGCUACCGGGGCUUGGGGUCCCAGGAUAUGGGGAUAUUGGGCUACUGGGGCUCAGGGUCCCAGGAUACUGGGCUACCAGGGCUUGGGGUCCUGGGCCACCAGGGCUUGGAGUACAAGGCUACUGGGAUAUGGAGCUACUGGGGCUCAGGGUACUGGGAUUCUAGGAUAUUGGGCUACUGGGGUACUGGGGUUGGAGUACUGGGCUACUGGGGCUCGGGGUUCCAGGAUACUGGGCUACCAGGACUUGGGGUCCUUG